Populus nigra (black poplar) is the source of this 840-nucleotide long non-coding RNA. RefSeq lists it as uncharacterized. The record is from RefSeq and is a predicted model, not a curated record. Lineage: Eukaryota; Viridiplantae; Streptophyta; Magnoliopsida; Malpighiales; Salicaceae. The transcript has 2 exons.
CCCCCCCUGAAACGUAGUCCCGCGGCAUUUCCCAACGUAAGAGAUCGUUGGAGACCGCCGUGCUUGGCAAGAUCUUGCUUCGAACAUAGCUGAUGAAUCCCAUCUCUGAGAAGAACUGUCUUCUAAAUUCUUGGAAGGAAAAUACAAUUAGUGAAUAGUUAGCUGAAGGAGAAACUUUGGUUAACAAGCAGGCGAUGAAUUGAGUUAAAAACUGUUAUGUUAGGAUUUAGGCACAUUUAUCAAUCAUAUUUCGAUGUUAAAAAAUGAGGCGAUUUACUUUUACCUCAACACUUUGCAUCUACAUUAGUCGCCUUGUUUGGCACACUCAAACCCUUUUGAUAUCAGAGUUAGCGGAAAGAUAAAAGCUAUGCAUAGUACUCACCAAAGAGAAGGAUUUUGGCUGAAGAAACUUCCGAGCUACCAAGAGAAAUUGCAAAUGGUGAGGUCUAUUUGUGAGUUAUUGAUAAUUUAAGUUGUUGAGUGGUAGGGUUAUUACCUAGUCAUGGAUUGGCAACAUCGGGUAACAGAGUGGACAAAGCGAGCUUUAUGGUCCCUGAGAGCUUUACUUAAUGGAAGGAGGAGUGUGACAUGCCACUGGCGAACGGAUUCAUAUCAAGGUAAGAGAUUGGAAUUGCAAACUUUUCUUCCCAUACUCUUUCAGUAUCAACGGCGGAAUUAGAAAAACAUAAACUAAAGUUGGUGCACCAUCAUGGAACUGGACCCUUCAUCCAAUCCUUGCACAAUGGGUCAUUUGUCAUCUAUCACUAAAGUAGAAAACUAUUAUCACAAUGCUUUUAACUGCUAUUAAUAAUUCUCACAUGAAAGGGAUAAAGUAGAUAA